Molecule: long non-coding RNA, 6207 nt
Filed under: Salmo salar (Atlantic salmon)
Lineage: Eukaryota; Metazoa; Chordata; Actinopteri; Salmoniformes; Salmonidae
Description: lncRNA (ENSSSAG00000083975.1)
Source: RNAcentral
CACAACUUGUGGACUUGUUUAGUGCUGCAGUGCAUUUUGUUGCUAGCGUUACUUUGCUACCUGCCAACUUUACGGGUGUUACUUUUUAAUUACCGUUUUAUAUUUGUUCCCUCGCGCGACUUUUUUAAUUCUCCUUUUUCCACACCGGAUGCUUUAUCUGGACAUGGUUCUACACGACCUUCACCAGCCGAAGCUAAGUAGUAACAUUAUGCCUUCUAAUUGCAGUCGCUGUACUCAUGAUACACAGGAGAAUGAUAGCCUUAUGAGGAGGAUAGCCGUGCUGCAAGCCCAGCUUCAGACGUACUCGUUAGGCAAGGGUAAUUUAAGUGUAGGAAAGGAUGAAACGGCGUCUGUGCCACAAAUACAGAUAGUAGUAUAAAUCCCCUCACACAGUCCCCGCAGCCGGACAAUUUUCUCAUGGCUUCUGGAAGGAAAUGCUGUAGGAAUGCUCAACCGGUGUCGCUCAUUCAGCCGACAGAAACUUUCAACCUGUUCUCCCCAUUAAGCAAUGAGUCGGAGUCAGAGGCCGAGCCUUCUCUGGUCUCUCCUCCACCCGUUACGGGGUCUGAGACGCCAAAGCCUCCCACCAUUAGCUCUGACAAAUUGAAAACCCUAGUCAUUGGCGACUUCAUUAGCCGCAGUAUUAGACUUAAAACGAAUCAUCCAGCGAUCAUACACUGUUUACCAGGGGGCAGGGCUACCCUGAAGAUGGUGCAGGCUAAAACUGGCGAGUAUAGAGAUAUUGUUAUCCACGUCGGCACCAACGAUGUUAGGAUGAAACAGUCAGAGGUCACCAAGCGCAACAUAGCCUCAGCGUGUAAAUCAGCUAGAAAAUGUGUCGGCAUCGAGUAAUUGUUUCUGGGGAGUGAUGAGCUCUACAGCAGAGUCUCACAACUUAAUCGCUGGUUGAAAACUGUUUUCUGUCCCUCCCAAAAGAUAGAAUUUGUAGAUAAUUGGCCCUCUUUUUAUGACUCACCCACAAACAGGACCUGGCCUGCUGAGGAGUGAUGGAUUCCAUCCUAGCUGGAGGGGUGCUCUCAUUUCUCUAUGAACAUAGACAGGGCUCUAACUCCUCUAGCUCCACAAUGAGAUAGGGUGCAGGCCAGGCAGCAGGCUGUUAGCCAGCCUGCCAGCUUAGUGGAGUCUGCCACUAGCACAGUCAGUGUAGUCAGCUCAGCUAUCCCCAUUGAGACGUGUCUGUGCCUCGAUCUAGGUUGGGCAAAAUUAAAGAUGGCUGUGUUCGCUUCAGCAAUCUCAAUGAAAUAAAGACCUCCUCCAUUCCUGUCAUUAUUGAAAGAGAUUGUGAAAUCUCACAUCUCAAAAUAGGGCUACUUAAUGUCAUUAACUAAUCACAAUCUUGAUUAUGAUUGACCCAACUGAAACAUGGCUUAAGCCUAAUAAAUUUACUUUGUUAAAUGAGGCCUCUCCGCCUUAUUACACUAGUGACCAUAUCCCUCGUGCAUCCCGCAAAGGCGGAGGUGUUGCAAACAUUUACGAUACAUAAUUUCAAUUUACAAUUAAAAACGACUGUGUUUUUGUCUUUUGAGCUUCUAGUCAUGAAAUCUAUGUAGUCUACUCAAUCACUUUUUAUAGCUACUAUUUACAGGCCUCCUGGGCCGUAUACAGCGUUCCUCACUGAGUUCCCUGAAUUCCUAUCGGACCUUGUAGUCAUGGCAGAUAAUAUUCACAUUUUUGGUGACUUUAAUAUUGUUAGGGUUGAACUGGCUAUUUGUAUGCAUAACCUUUAUAAUAUACUGGGGAAGCUAUGCUACAAUAUUAAGUAUAUGAACUGCGAGUAAAUCAACUGAAGACAAGAAGAACUACAACCGGCAACAGGAAGUGCGUCACGACGCUGGGAUCAGCCUACACGCCGACGACAGGAGGAGCAAGUUUAAACCACGCUCCUCCUCCCUCGGACAGGCCAGCAUUGAGCAGGAACUAUCUCUGUUAGAGUAUAAAAGAGAACAAUAGGAUGUGUCGCUCUCUUCUCUGUUUUGCCCUGCGAGGUAAAACAGCGAGACCGUAUAUAUACGAACCACACAUAUACCACACACGUGUUUGCAUUAAUUAAAGUACAGCUAAAUCAGAAGUUACUAUGUGAUGACUAUUUUGUUCUGUUACCAGAAAAGAACUGUCGCAACAUUAACAAUAUUCACAUGAAAAAGUCCACAGACCCACUCCAAAAGACUUUCGGAGCCAUCAUCGACUAAGUGGGUUUUGUCCAACAUGUCUCCAGACCUACUCGCUGCCACAGUCAUACUCUGGACCUAGUUCUGUCCCGUGGAAUAAAUAUUGUGGAUCAAAAUGUUUUUCCUCGUAAUCCUGGACUAUCGAACCACCAUUUUAUUACAUUUGCAGUCGCAAUGAAUAAUCUGCUCAGACCCCAACCAAGGAUCAUCAAAAGCUAUGCGUCAGAGUACAACAAUAGGUUAACCACCUGAGGAACUUAAUUUAACCUUGCAUAAUACUAUACAGUCACACUCCUAAAAACAAACAAAAUAUUGUCAUAAGAAACUCGCUCCCUGGUAUACAGAAAAUACCUGAGCCCUGGAGCAAGUUUCCAGAAAAUUGGAAUGGAAAUGGCGCUACACCAAACUGGAAGUCUUCCGAUUAGCUUGGAAAGACAGUACCGUGCAGUAUCGAAGAGCCCUCACUCCUGCUCGAUCAUCCUAUUUUUCCAACUUAAUUGAGGAGAAUAAGAACAAUCCUACAUUUAUUUUUGAUACUGUCGCAAAGCUAACUAAAAAGCAGCAUUCCCCAAGAGAGGAUGGCUUUCAUUUCAGCAGUGAUAAAUUCAUGAACUUCUUUGACGAAAAGAUAAUUAGAAAGCAAAUUACGGACUCCUCUUUAUUUCUCCAAAGCUCAGUUGUCCUGAGUCUGCACAAUACUGCCAGGACCUAGGAUCAAGGGAGACACUAAAGUUUUUUUUAAUACUAAAUCUCUUGACACAAUGAUGAAAAUAGUCAUGGCCUCUAAACCUUCAAGCUGCAUACUGGACCCUGUUCCAACUAAACUACUGAAAGAGCUGCUUCCUGUGCUUGGCCCUUCUAUGUUGAACGUAAUAAAUGGCUCCCUAUCCACCGGAUGUGUACCAAACUCACUAAAAGUGGCAGUAAUAAAGCCUCUCUUGAAAAAGCCAAACCUUUACCCAGAAAAUAUAAACUAUCGGCCUCUAUCAAAUCUCCCAUUCCUCCCAAAAAAAUUGAAAAAGCUGUUGCGCAGCAACUCACUGCCUUGCUGAAGACUAACAAUGUAUACGAAACGCUUCAUUCUGGUUUUAGACCCCAUCAUAGCACUGAGACUGCACUCGCGAAGGUGGUAAAUUACCUUUUAUUGGCGUCAGACAAAGGCUCUGCAUCUGUCCUCGUGCUCCUAGACCUUGGUGCUGAUUUAUUUAAUUUUUUCAUUGAUCACCACAUUCUUUUGGAGAGAUUGGAAACCCAAAUUGGUCUACACGGACAACUUCUGGCCUGGUUUAGAUCUUAUCUGUCGGAAAGAUAUCAGUUUCUCUGUGGGUGAUUUGUCCUCUGACAAAUCAACUGUAAAUUUCGGUGUUCCUCAAGGUUCCGUUUUAUAUUUUACCACUUGGUGAUGUCAUUCGGAAACAUAAUGUUAACUUUCACUGCUAUGCGGAAGAUACACAGCUGUACAUUUCGAUGAAACAUGGUGAAGCCCCGAAAUUGCCCUCCCUGGAAGCCUGUGUUUCAGCCAUAAGGAAGUGGAUGGCGGCAAAUGUUUUACUUUUAAACUCGGACAAAACAAAAUGCUAGUUCUAGGUCCCAAGAAACAAAGAGAUCUUCUGUUGGAUCUGCCAAUUAAUCUUGAUGGUUGUACAGUCAUCUCAAAUAAAACUGUAAAGGACAUAGGUGUUACUCUGGACCGUGAUCUCUCUUUUGACGAACAUAUCAAGACUGGUUCAAGGACAGCUUUUUUCCAUCUACGUAACAUUGCAAAAAUCAAACUCUCUGUCUAAAAAUUAUGCAGAGAAAUUAAUCCAUGCUUUUGUCACUUCCAGAUUAGACUACUGCAAUACUCUACUUUCCGGCUACCGAUAAAGCACUAAAUAAACUUCAGUUAGUGCUAAACACGGCUGCUAGAAUCCUGACUAGAACCAAAAAAUGUGAUCAUAUUACUCCAGUUCUAGCCUCUCUACACUGGCUUCCUGUUAAGGCUAGGGCUGAUUUCAAGGUUUUACUGCUGACCUACAAAGCAAAGCGUUACAUGGGCUUGCUACUAUCUAUCUUUUCCCGAUUUGGUCCUGCCGUACAUACUUACACAUACGCUACGGUCACAAGACGCAGGCCUCCUUAUUGUCCCUGGACUUUCUAAGCAAACAGCUGGAGGCAGGGCUUUCUCCAAUAGAGCUCUCAACAUUUAAGUCUUUAUUGAAGACUCAUCUCUUCAGUAGGUCCUAUGAUUGAGUGUAGUCUGGCCCAGGGGUGUGAAGGUGAACGGAAAGGCACUGGAGCAACGAACCACCCUUGCUCUCUCUGCCUGGCCGGUUCCCCUCUCCACUGGGAUUCUCUGCCUCUAACCCUAUUACUGAGUCACUGGCUUACUGGUGUUCUUCCAUGCUGUUCCUAGGAGGGGUGCGUCACUUGAGUGGGCUGAGUCACUGGCUUACUGGUGCUCUUCCAUGCCGUCCCAAGGAGGGGUGCGUCACUUGAGUGGGUUGAGUCACUGACGUGGUCUUCCUGUCUGGGUUGGCGCCCCCCCUUGGGUUGUGCCGUGGCGGAGAUCUUUAUGGGCUAUACUCGGCCUUGUCUCAGGAUGGACCUGAGCCCUAGGACCAUGCCUCAGGACUACCUGGCAUGAUGACACCUUGCUGUCCUCAGUCCACCUGGCCGUGCUGCUGCUCCAGUUUCAACUGUUCUGCCUGCGGCUAUGGAACCCUGACCAGUUCACCGGACGUGCUACCUGUCUCAGACCUGCUGUUUUCGACUGUAGAGACAGCAGGAGCGGUAGAGAUACUCUCAAUGAUCGGCUAUGAAAAGCCAACUGACAUUUACUCGAUGUGCUGACUUGUUGCACCCUCGACAACUACUGUGAUUAUUAUUAUUUGACCAUGCUGGUCAUUUAUGAACAUUUGAACAUCUUGGCCAUGUUCUGUUAUAAUCUCCAAAUGACACAGCCAGAAGAGGACUGGCCACCCCUCAUAGCCUGAUUCCUCUCUAGGUUUCUUCCUAGGUUUUGGCCUUUCUAGGGAGAUUUUCCUAGCCACCGUGCUUCUACACCUGCAUUGCUUGCUGUUUGAGGUUUUAGGCUGUGUUUCUGUACAGCAAUUUGAGAUAUCAGCGGAGAUAAGAAGGGCUAUAUUUAAAAAAAUGAUUUGAUUUUAUUUGCUCACACCUUUCGAACUUCUUUGCCCAUGGGAGAAAUAUAUUUCGCCCCCCCCCGUAAGGGUUGUGGAACUGGUGGCAGUGAAGUCAGAUGCAGGAAAGCAGAAAUAGGUAAUAGCCGGAGCCGUUUAAUACAAAACCCACGGCAAUGCAAAAAGAACCUACAUGGGUACAAAACCCGACGCGCACCAGUGACAUAGAGUACAAGCACUUACAAACAAACAAUUCCACACAAGGACAUGGGUGGAGCAGAGGGUUAAAUACACAACAAUUAAUGAGGGAAAUGGAAACCAGGUGUGUAAGAAAACAAGACAAAACAAAUGGAAAAUGAAAGGUAGAUCGACGAUGGCUAGAAGACCGGUGACGCCGACCGCCGAACACCGCCCAAACAAGGAGAGGAAACGACUUUGGUGGAAGUCGUGACACCCCCAGUCCUUUUUCCACAAAACUUUAUCUAAAAUUGUUCUCUUUUAGCCAGGUAAAUACUGAUCGUCUUUUCUUAUUAUCUGCUAAGCCAUUGCAAUUAUAACUGGCUAUACUUAUUUAUAUGAUUAUGUUUUAAUGUUACUCCUGAAUCACCAUAAUAGUUUUUCUUGAGUGUAUUUGUCACGUGUACUCCCUCUCUGGCCUCUAUGUCACCAGGCUGCUCGUUAUGGCGCACACCUAUCACCAUCGUUAAGCACACCUGUGCGGCAUCAGACUUACCUGGACUGCAUCACUUCCUUGAUUACCUUCCCUAUUUUUGUCACUCUCUUUGGUUCCUUCCCCAGGCGUUAUUGUUUCUGUUCCUGUGUCAUGUCUGUGCGUUGUUCGGGUUUCCUAUUUUGUAUUAUGUUGUGUUUAUUUAUUAAAACACUCCCAGAACUGA